This 1762-nucleotide long non-coding RNA is filed under the name Setaria italica (foxtail millet). Its description in RNAcentral is "long non-coding RNA (SITA_LNC001086)". The record is from RNAcentral. Lineage: Eukaryota; Viridiplantae; Streptophyta; Magnoliopsida; Poales; Poaceae.
GAGAGAUGCUGAGUGCAGCUUUUAACAUUGUCGGAUUCAGUUGGAUAACCUCUCCUGCUGCAACUGAGCUAGAGGUUAUUGUCUUGGAUUGGUUUGCAAAAAUGCUUAACCUGCCAAGUCAGUUCCUGUCAAGUGGUAAGUCUUGUUCAAUAACAUUUUGUUGCACGUUGUGUGCUGUUUGAAAUAUUUGGUGAUCUCAAGAUCGAGCAUAUUGGUUUGGUCUCUUUUAAUAUUGUAGCACCUCCUAAUUUAAUUAUACCUUGCUUUCAAGAAAAAGAUUUAAUAAUUGAGGAACUAAGGGCCUGUUUGGGAAGGGGGUGUUAAAGUUUAACAGGGUGUUAAACUUUAACACCUUCAAAUAAGGUGUUAAACUUUAACACAUUGGGGUGUUUGGAUGGUCUACUAAACUUUAACAUCUUAGGUUAGAAAUGACAAUUAUACCCCCACUCCCCCCUCCUUCCUCCUCUCUCUUCUUCUAUUCGUGCUCGCGGUGGCCUUCUAUUCGUGCUUCCUCCUGUGGCGGCGGCGCUCCGACGGGGGAGGCGGGGGCGGUGCCGCCGCCCUCCGCGCCGCGAAGCCAGCGCGCGCCGGCGCCGCGGCCGCGAGGGUCGCCAGCGACGUUGGGAGCAGCACGCGGCACCAGAGGUCGUCGUCGCCGCCGAGCUCGACGGCAUCCGACGUGAUAUACAUCGACCCGCUCCCGACGAUGGUGGAGGUGGGCCGGCACCGGCCGCAGAGCCCCGACCUCCGCCCGCUCGUGCUCGUGAAGCAGCCGAGCCCAGACCUCCGGCCGUUGCCGCCGCUGAGGCGGCCGGCGACGCAGCCACCGCCCCCGCCACAAGCGAAUCCCCCACGGCCUGCUCGUCCGCCGCCGCCCCCACCGCCGCCGAGGCCGAGGCCUGCUCGUCCGCCGCCGCCCCCACCGCCGCCCCCACCAGCUCAUGCAGAUCGAGGCCGGCGACCUCACCCGCGACAACCCGCUGCUCGCCGCCCGUGCGAGGCCACCCGCACAAGGCCGCCGCCCGCCGCCCGCGUAGGAGCGGCGCGGACCUCUACGGCGACGUGCUCGAAUCCGUGGUGGAGCGGGUGCCCGCACCGGACCUCGCCGCCACGGUGCGGGUGUCGCUCGGGGCGAUUGCGGGCGUCGCCGUGGUGGCCCCCCGCGUGUGGAGGUCCGCGAGGGCGGCGGGUGGACGGCUUGCAGAGGGCGGUGGAGGCCUCGUUGGAGGCCGCGCCGUGGAUCUGUGAGCGGGGAUGGCCGGCGGGAGGACGCGACGCGGGAGGGAGAAGAGGGGCAGCGGAGGAGAGAGCAGGGGCAACCAGGGAAUAAAGUGGGGAGGGGAUCACUUUUAACACCUUUAGCAAGUUUUAACACCCCCUUGAGGUGUUAAAGUUUUUGGGGGUGUUAAACUUUAACAUCUAAGUUUUAACACAUCUGUUUGGAUCUCAAAGUGUUAAAAAGUGUUAAAACUAGGGUGUUAAACUUUAACACACUCAAUCCAAACAGGCCCUAAGAGGCACCGAGUGUUGAAGCAUCAACCCAUACCCAUUGGUAAAUCCAAAACCAGGUACGUAGCGGUGAAGGCCCCCGUGUCGUCUCCUCUGGGCGACUCGGGCAGCACGCCCGAUGCCCGCCGCCGCCACCCCCUCCCAGCCUUCUCUCCACCUUGCCACCGCCGGAGCAGGGUGCCUUCUAGGAAGGCGGCGGCGGGGGCUUCUCUCGCCUGGCCGGGCACCUCCUGCUCGGGUCAAGACAAGGCGG